RNAcentral lists this ribosomal RNA (493 nucleotides) under uncultured bacterium. RNAcentral describes it as "bacterial SSU rRNA". It matches the Rfam family "Bacterial small subunit ribosomal RNA", at positions 28 to 507 of the family's 1533-position model. The record is from RNAcentral.
GAUGAACGCUAGCUACAGGCUUAACACAUGCAAGUCGAGGGGAAACGACAUUGGAAGCUUGCUUCCUUUGGGCGUCGACCGGCGCACGGGUGAGUAACGCGUAUCCAACCUUCCCGCAAGUAAGGGAUAACCCGUAGAAAUGCGGCCUAAUACCUUAUGUUUUCCUUAGAGGGCAUCUGAUGAGGAACAAAGAUCCGUCGCUUGCGGAUGGGGGAUGCGUCUGAUUAGUUAGUCGGCGGGGUAACGGCCCACCGAGACGACGAUCAGUAGGGGUUCUGAGAGGAAAGUCCCCCACAUUGGAACUGAGACACGGUCCAAACUCCUACGGGAGGCAGCAGUGAGGAAUAUUGGUCAAUGGGCGGAAGCCUGAACCAGCCAAGUAGCGUGCAGGACGACGGCCCUAUGGGUUGUAAACUGCUUUUAUGCGGGGAUAAAGUGGGCCACGUGUGGCCUUUUGCAGGUACCGCAUGAAUAAGGACCGGCUAAUUCCGUG